UUGAAAAGGGAACCCUUCGGGGUUCAACCUUAAACCCUAUGUCUUAAUUACCUGUUUCUUUGGCGGGCUUGCCCGUCAGAAGUUUUCUCAAACCCAUUAUAAAUGUGUCAUCUGAAUAACAAACUAAAUAAAUUA
RNAcentral lists this unclassified non-coding RNA (135 nucleotides) under uncultured Lecanoromycetes. Its description in RNAcentral is "sequence contains ITS1". The record is from RNAcentral. Lineage: Eukaryota; Fungi; Ascomycota; Lecanoromycetes.